AAGCAUUAAAGUAAGAUGUUGUGCCAGAAAGCAGUAUCUUAGUAGCUUAAUAUGGGUUUUACAUUUACCGCAAGCUGGCUAGAGAGAAAUUCUUGAAAGAAAAUGUUAAAA
RNAcentral lists this non-coding RNA (111 nucleotides) under unclassified sequences. Its description in RNAcentral is "drum RNA". It matches the Rfam family "drum RNA". From Rfam's summary of the family: Firmicutes, Bacteroidetes (1 example), Proteobacteria (2 examples), Spirochaetes (2 examples). Terminator (Clostridia) The record is from Rfam by way of RNAcentral.